GUGGGGAAUAUUGGUCAAUGGGCGGAAGCCUGAACCAGCCAUCCCGCGUGGAGGAAGACGGCCCUAUGGGUUGUAAACUUCUUUUCAAGGGGAAGAAAGUUCGCGACGUGUCGCGAUUUGCCGGUACCUUUGGAAUAAGCAUCGGCUAACUCCGUGCCAGCAGCCGCGGUAAUACGGAGGAUGCGAGCGUUAUCCGGAUUUAUUGGGUUUAAAGGGUGCGUAGGCCGAUCGAUAAGUCAGCGGUGAAAUACCAUGGCCCAACCAUGGAACUGCCGUUGAUACUGUCGGUCUUGAAUAUGGUCAAGGUAGGCGGAAUGUGUAAUGUAGCGGUGAAAUGCUUAGAUAUUACACAGAACACCGAUUGCGAAGGCAGCUUACUGGUCCAUUAUUGACGCUGAGGCACGAAAGCGUGGGGAUCGAACAGGAUUAGAUACCCCUGUAGUCC
RNAcentral lists this ribosomal RNA (445 nucleotides) under uncultured bacterium. Its description in RNAcentral is "partial 16S ribosomal RNA". It matches the Rfam family "Bacterial small subunit ribosomal RNA", at positions 354 to 796 of the family's 1533-position model. The record is from RNAcentral.